CUCGGUUCGUGACUCGGAUAUACAGUGCUCGCAUUACCCAGGGUUUCUUCUCUUCGACUACCGCCAUAGUGGUGAACGGAUAGCGAUCUCCGAAAUGGCGUCGCAUAAGACCUUCAGAAUAAAGCGCUUCCUCGCCAAGAAGCAGAA
Molecule: long non-coding RNA, 147 nt
Organism: Sinocyclocheilus anshuiensis
Lineage: Eukaryota; Metazoa; Chordata; Actinopteri; Cypriniformes; Cyprinidae
Exons: 2
Source: RefSeq, a predicted model, not a curated record